CGCAAGCCUGAUCCAGCAACGCCGCGUGGAGGACGAAGGUCUUCGGAUCGUAAACUCCUGUCAGGCGGGACGAAGGUCUCCGGGCGAACAGUCCGGAAGCUUGACGGUACUGCCAGAGGAAGCCCCGGCUAACUCCGUGCCAGCAGCCGCGGUAAUACGGAGGGGGCUAGCGUUAUUCGGAAUUAUUGGGCGUAAAGGGCGCGUAGGCGGCCCGGUAAGUCAAAGGUGAAAUCCCUCGGCUCAACUGAGGAACUGCCUUUGAAACUGCCGGGCUUGAGGCCGGGAGGGGGUAGCGGAAUUCCCAGUGUAGCGGUGAAAUGCGUAGAUAUUGGGAGGAACACCGGUGGCGAAGGCGGCUACCUGGACCGGUUCUGACGCUGAUGCGCGAAAGCGUGGGUAGCAAACAGGAUUAGAUACCCUGGUAGUCCACGCUGUAAACGAUGAGUGCUCGGUGUCGCGGGUAUCCGACCCCUGCGGUGCCUUAGCUAACGCGUUAAGCACUCCGCCGUGGGGAGUACGGUCGCAAGGCUAG
This 532-nucleotide ribosomal RNA is filed under the name uncultured Acidobacteriota bacterium. RNAcentral describes it as "bacterial SSU rRNA". It matches the Rfam family "Bacterial small subunit ribosomal RNA", at positions 376 to 897 of the family's 1533-position model. Lineage: Bacteria; Pseudomonadati; Acidobacteriota. The record is from RNAcentral.